AAGCACUAGGGGAGCUAUGUUGAAUGGCUGAGAAAGGUAAUCCUUGACCCUUGGCACCCGAUCUAGAUAAUACUAGCGUGGGGAAGUGU
This 89-nucleotide non-coding RNA is filed under the name Candidatus Pseudogracilibacillus intestinigallinarum. Its description in RNAcentral is "TPP riboswitch (THI element)". It matches the Rfam family "TPP riboswitch aptamer (THI element)", at positions 7 to 92 of the family's 105-position model. Rfam says of the family: Vitamin B(1) in its active form thiamin pyrophosphate (TPP) is an essential coenzyme that is synthesised by coupling of pyrimidine and thiazole moieties in bacteria. The previously detected thiamin-regulatory element, thi box was extended, resulting in a new, highly conserved RNA secondary structure, the THI element, which is widely distributed in eubacteria and also occurs in some archaea. Lineage: Bacteria; Bacillati; Bacillota; Bacilli; Caryophanales; Bacillaceae. The record is from RNAcentral.